Molecule: long non-coding RNA, 773 nt
Filed under: Mytilus galloprovincialis (Mediterranean mussel)
Lineage: Eukaryota; Metazoa; Mollusca; Bivalvia; Mytilida; Mytilidae
Source: RNAcentral
GUCUUUUCGUAGUUUUACUCUUUGAUUACCAUGGUGAUGGGUUUAUCGUCGACUUAUGACUUUUGAGAGUCACUUUGGUAUGUCAUCUGUCUUUUUUUGCCUACUCAAACAAAUACAAUUAAUAUUGUUUUUGUUUUAAACAAAUCUUUAGUAUAAUAUUGCAUUCAUUCAUAAUUAUACUUUCUUCAAAGUUUUCUUACUUUUUUGUUUACCGUUUAUCAUAUGAAAUAAGGUGCAGCAUCUAUAAUUUUCGCUAAUGUACGUUGGUGCAUGAAGCGAGAAUAAUAUUCAAAGCGAGAUAAUUCUAGCGUUAGAAUAUGUAAGAUACUUAGUCAUAAGGUACCAGUCUUGUAUUACAACUCCAGUUUCAAAACAUGGAGGGAAACAAAAUAGUCCAUUUUUUUCUGAAUUUUUUUCUGGACUCAAUUUUUUCUGUUUGAUUAUAGGUUUAUGCUGAAUUGAAACAUAUAUAUAGAUUUAAAAAAAAUCUUGCAUCUUUUUGGGGAUAUCAAUCCAGGAAAGUGGAAGGAUAUCAUGUUUACUGGAAGUGGUGCGGCCUAGAAAAACAGCAAACAGAAAGUAGAAAAAAAUGUUUUGACUUCAGGGUUACGUAACUUUUUAUUCUUCGUGGCAUGACCCACUUUUUUUUCGAUUAAAUCACAAUUUCACAUUAGUACAUACAUAAUAGGAACAUGAAAUUUUUUUUCUAUGUAGCAUUUUUUAUUUUUUUUAUUUUCAAAGAUCAGCUGUUUAGCAUGUAAGCCUAUGGAGCA